UACGGAGGGCGCAAGCGUUUUUCGGAAUCACUGGGCGUAAAGCGCGUGUAGGCGGCUCUGCAAGUCGGGUGUGAAAUCCCGAGGCUCAACCUCGGAACUGCACUCGAUACUGCUUGGCUCGAGUCCCGGAGAGGGUGGCGGAAUUCCCGGUGUAGGGGUGAAAUCCGUAGAUAUCGGGAGGAACACCAGUGGCGAAGGCGGCCACCUGGACGGUGACUGACGCUGAGGCUCGAAAGCGUGGGGUGCGAACAGG
This 253-nucleotide ribosomal RNA is filed under the name uncultured bacterium. Its description in RNAcentral is "partial 16S ribosomal RNA". It matches the Rfam family "Bacterial small subunit ribosomal RNA", at positions 524 to 776 of the family's 1533-position model. The record is from RNAcentral.